GCGGACGUAGUGCACGGUGCACCACUGCCUUUAAUUGAGAGAUUGUCGAAGGAUUGCAAGCAGUUGAGGGGUUCGACUCCCCGCGUCCGCC
Mycena vulgaris is the source of this 91-nucleotide non-coding RNA. The record is from the annotation of a GenBank genome assembly. Lineage: Eukaryota; Fungi; Basidiomycota; Agaricomycetes; Agaricales; Mycenaceae.